RNAcentral lists this ribosomal RNA (503 nucleotides) under uncultured bacterium. Its description in RNAcentral is "partial 16S ribosomal RNA". It matches the Rfam family "Bacterial small subunit ribosomal RNA", at positions 28 to 507 of the family's 1533-position model. The record is from RNAcentral.
GACGAACGCUGGCGGCGUGCUUAACACAUGCAAGUCGAACGGUGAAGCGCUUUCCUUUUUGGUUGGUGUGGAUGAGUGGCGAACGGGUGAGUAACACGUGAGUAACCUGCCCCCUUCUCCUGGAUAACCGCAUGAAAGUGUGGCUAAUACGGGAUAUUCUGCGCCUGCUGCAUGGUGGGUGUGGGAAAGAUUGUGCCUUUGGGUGUUUUCGGUGGGGGAUGGGCUCGCGGCCUAUCAGCUUGUUGGUGGGGUGAUGGCCUACCAAGGCGGUGACGGGUAGACGGCCUGAGAGGGUGGACGGUCACACUGGGACUGAGACACGGCCCAGACUCCUACGGGAGGCAGCAGUGGGGAAUAUUGCACAAUGGGCGCAAGCCUGAUGCAGCGACGCCGCGUGAGGGAUGGAGGCCUUCGGGUUGUGAACCUCUUUCGCCAGUGAAGCAGGCCUGCUCCUUGUGGGUGGGUUGACGGUAGCUGGAUAAGAAGCGCCGGCUAACUACGUG